GGGGAAUAUUGCGCAAUGGGCGGAAGCCUGACGCAGCGACGCCGCGUGAGGGAUGACGGCCUUCGGGUUGUAAACCUCUUUCGGUAGGGACGAAGCGCGAGUGACGGUACCUACAGAAGAAGCGCCGGCCAACUACGUGCCAGCAGCCGCGGUAAGACGUAGGGCGCAAGCGUUGUCCGGAUUUAUUGGGCGUAAAGAGCUCGUAGGCGGCGUGUCGCGUCGUCCGUGAAAACCUGCAGCUGAACUGUGGGCGUGCGGUCGAUACGGGCAUGCUAGAGGCAGGUAGGGGAGAUCGGAAUUCCUGGUGUAGCGGUGAAAUGCGCAGAUAUCAGGAGGAACACCGGUGGCGAAGGCGGAUCUCUGGGCCCGUUCUGACGCUGAGGAGCGAAAGCGUGGGGAGCGAAC
Molecule: ribosomal RNA, 405 nt
Filed under: uncultured bacterium
Lineage: Bacteria
Description: bacterial SSU rRNA
Rfam family: Bacterial small subunit ribosomal RNA
Source: RNAcentral